GGGUAAGUCUUAUACGACCAGCUCCUAUCGAAUUCCACCAGGUCCGGAAGGAAGCAAGGGUAGAUGGUUGAGCGGUGCGAUAUAAGUAGCUUACCCAUU
Molecule: signal recognition particle RNA, 99 nt
Filed under: Bacteroidales bacterium
Lineage: Bacteria; Pseudomonadati; Bacteroidota; Bacteroidia; Bacteroidales
Description: signal recognition particle sRNA small type
Rfam family: Bacteroidales small SRP
About the family: The non-coding component of the signal recognition particle in Bacteroides
Source: RNAcentral